CUUAUUCUAUAAAAGGGACUCCCUCACUUUCAUUAGAAAGCACCCAUUCUUCAUAUACUGAGGAACGAGCCCUUAUUUUAUAAAAAGGAUUCCCUCACCAUCAUUAGAGAGCAUCGUCGCCCGCUGAGCAACCGCUUCCCCGCGAGCAUCAACUCUAGCCCAUCACUUAUGUAUUGAGGAGUGAGCCCUUAUUUUCUAUAAAAUAGACUCCCUCAGCAUCAUUACAGAGCAUCGUCGCUUGCUGAGCAACCGCCUCACCGCGAGCAUCAACUCUAGCCCAUCAUUCAUGUAUUAAGGAGCAAGCCCUUAUUCUAUAAAAGGGACUCCCUCACCUUCAAACGCCACAAGCCGAGCCAACCAAGGCAACAUAAGCCACAAGCAGAGCAACCUCGCAACAUGUGCUACUUCUAGUUGAGCAUCAUUUCAGAUUGGGCAUUGCCUCAUAUCGAGUAUCAGUUCUAGACGACAUCUAGUUACUUCGGCCCACACAUGGACUGAAUUUUAAGUCUCCAGCCAAAAGACUAUCUUGACUGAAGACUUGGGGGACUACUAUUUGUACCAUACUUAGGGCCUCCGUAUUUAGAUCUUGUAUAAAUACUCAGGGGGUGCUCAAAUGUAAUUAUGUAAUAAAUGAAGGGGAAAAUAUGUAAACAGGGGAGCCCUUAGUCUAUAAAAGGGCCUCCUCACCCUCACAAUCCUCAAGCCUCACUCUUACAUUUACAAAGCUCUCAUCCUCACAUACAGAGGCUCUCACCCUCACAAACCUUUCACAAACAGAGAAAUACAAUAUCAGUAUGGACGUAGUAGCCUAAACAUUGGCGUGAACCAUGAUACAUCUUGUGUUCCUUACUUUCUUGUAGAUUCACAUCCGGAUUUACGUUGUUCCAAGACCUCCAGUUUUGUGCAUCAACAAGUGUAAUUUACAAUACGCAAAGUAGAUCCACAUGUAUGUGAAUGAUUCAAGAUGCUAGAUAAUUGAAUUUUUUACAAUGUGAAGUCAAAGUACAUAGGUGGGUAUACAUGUAAUGACAUAUGAAAAAUAUUUUUUAGAAGAUAUAGUCCAAUGCAUAUAAUGUGAUGCUCUAUCGAAUAAGGGAAAGAACAAUGUCUAAAUUGAAAAGAGUAAAUUGCAAGA
Molecule: long non-coding RNA, 1135 nt
Filed under: Malus domestica (apple)
Lineage: Eukaryota; Viridiplantae; Streptophyta; Magnoliopsida; Rosales; Rosaceae
Description: long non-coding RNA (MDOM_LNC015309)
Source: RNAcentral